Molecule: ribosomal RNA, 430 nt
Filed under: Pseudomonadota bacterium
Lineage: Bacteria; Pseudomonadati; Pseudomonadota
Description: Proteobacteria bacterium partial 16S ribosomal RNA
Rfam family: Bacterial small subunit ribosomal RNA
Source: RNAcentral
UGGGGAAUAUUGGACAAUGGGGGGAACCCUGAUCCAGCCAUGCCGCGUGUGUGAAGAAGGCCUUAUGGUUGUAAAGCACUUUAAGCGAGGAGGAGGGUACUGGUAUUAAUACUACCAGGUACUGGACGUUACUCGCAGAAUAAGCACCGGCUAACUCUGUGCCAGCAGCCGCGGUAAUACAGAGGGUGCGAGCGUUAAUCGGAUUUACUGGGCGUAAAGCGUGCGUAGGCGGCUAAUUGAGUCGGAUGUGAAAUCCCCGAGCUUAACUUGGGAAUUGCAUUCGAUACUGGUUAGCUAGAGUGUGGGAGAGGAUGGUAGAAUUCCCGGUGUAGCGGUGAAAUGCGUAGGGAUCUUGAGGAAUACCGAUGGCGAAGGCAGCCAUCUGGCCUAACACUGACGCUGAGGUACGAAAGCAUGGGGAGCAAACAGG